Molecule: long non-coding RNA, 309 nt
Organism: Arabidopsis thaliana (thale cress)
Lineage: Eukaryota; Viridiplantae; Streptophyta; Magnoliopsida; Brassicales; Brassicaceae
Product: other RNA
Exons: 1
Source: RefSeq
CUCAUGCAUAUAUAGUUGGAACAAAGUUCCAAUUCAUGCACUAACCACUAGUUAAUCGUCAAUGACAGAGCGAGAGGCAGCAAUAAUCUUCUCUGAUGAUUGGCUUCCAGAUUCAACAACUUAAUUAUAUCAAUGUUUUUUUUGGGUGCAAUUUGAUUUAUAUAUAUACUAGUUAUUUAGCAUCUCAAGACAUUCUUAUCAUAUUUAAGUUGAUAACUUGAUAUUGUAAUCAGAAUCAUCAAAUAUUGACAUUGUACGAUGCAUGCAUUUCAUUAGAUCCACACUGUCUGAUCCGCUUCUUCCAUUUGG